UACGUAGGUGACCAGCGUUGUCCGGAUUUACUGGGCGUAAAGAGCGCGCAGGCGGUCGUUCAAGUCGAGUGUGAAAGCCCCCGGCUCAACUGGGGAGGGUCACUCGAUACUGAUCGACUUGAAGGCAGGAGAGGGAAGCGGAAUUCCCGGUGUAGUGGUGAAAUGCGUAGAUAUCGGGAGGAACACCAGUGGCGAAGGCGGGUCUCUGGGCCGAUACUGACGCUGAGACGCGAAAGCGUGGGGAGCGAACAGG
RNAcentral lists this ribosomal RNA (253 nucleotides) under uncultured bacterium. RNAcentral's name for it is "partial 16S ribosomal RNA". It matches the Rfam family "Bacterial small subunit ribosomal RNA", at positions 524 to 776 of the family's 1533-position model. The record is from RNAcentral.